Triticum urartu is the source of this 115-nucleotide non-coding RNA. The record is from Rfam. Lineage: Eukaryota; Viridiplantae; Streptophyta; Magnoliopsida; Poales; Poaceae.
AUGAUACUCCCUCCGUUCGGAAAUACUUGUCCUAGAAAUGGGUGUAUCUAGACUUGUUUUAGUUAUAGAUACAACCAUUUCUAAGACAAGUAUUUCCGAAUAGAGGGAGUACAUA